UGAGGAAUAUUGGUCAAUGGGCGCGAGCCUGAACCAGCCAAGUAGCGUGAAGGAUGAAGGUCCUAUGGAUUGUAAACUUCUUUUAUAGCAGAAUAAAGUGACCCACGUGUGGGUUUUUGUAUGUAUGCUAUGAAUAAGGAUCGGCUAACUCCGUGCCAGCAGCCGCGGUAAUACGGAGGAUCCGAGCGUUAUCCGGAUUUAUUGGGUUUAAAGGGUGCGUAGGCGGAAAGAUAAGUCAGCCUGUGAAAGUUUGCGGCUCGACCGUAAAAUUGCAGUUGAUACUGUUUUUCUUGAGUGUACAUAAGGUAGGCGGAAUUCGUGGUGUAGCGGUGAAAUGCUUAGAUAUCACGAAGAACUCCGAUUGCGAAGGCAGCUUACCGGGGUACAACUGACGCUGAUGCACGAAAGUGUGGGUAUCAAACA
This 423-nucleotide ribosomal RNA is filed under the name uncultured bacterium. RNAcentral describes it as "bacterial SSU rRNA". It matches the Rfam family "Bacterial small subunit ribosomal RNA", at positions 355 to 774 of the family's 1533-position model. The record is from RNAcentral.